AUUGAACGCUGGCGGCAGGCCUAACACAUGCAAGUCGAACGGUAACAGGAAGAAGCUUGCUUCUUUGCUGACGAGUGGCGGACGGGUGAGUAAUGUCUGGGAAACUGCCUGAUGGAGGGGGAUAACUACUGGAAACGGUAGCUAAUACCGCAUAGCGUCGCAAGACCAAAGAGGGGGACCUUCGGGCCUCUUGCCAUCGGAUGUGCCCAGAUGGGAUUAGCUAGUAGGUGGGGUAACGGCUCACCUAGGCGACGAUCCCUAGCUGGUCUGAGAGGAUGACCAGCCACACUGGAACUGAGACACGGUCCAGACUCCUACGGGAGGCAGCAGUGGGGAAUAUUGCACAAAGGGCGCAAGCCUGAUGCAGCCAUGCCGCGUGUAUGAAGAAGGCCUUCGGGUUGUAAAGUACUUUCAGCGGGGAGGAAGGGAGUAAAGUUAAUACCUUUGCUCAUUGACGUUACCCGCAGAAGAAGCACCGGCUAACUCCGUG
RNAcentral lists this ribosomal RNA (490 nucleotides) under uncultured bacterium. RNAcentral describes it as "partial 16S ribosomal RNA". It matches the Rfam family "Bacterial small subunit ribosomal RNA", at positions 30 to 507 of the family's 1533-position model. The record is from RNAcentral.